This 2389-nucleotide long non-coding RNA is filed under the name Gallus gallus (chicken). Lineage: Eukaryota; Metazoa; Chordata; Aves; Galliformes; Phasianidae. The record is from RNAcentral.
CCAAGAACUUGCCCCUUACUCAAACACAACGCAAUGUACUUAAGCAAGUAUAUAUUUCUUUAUGUUCCUGUCAGUGAAACUGAUUUAACAUCUCCUUUCAAUUGAGCUAAAUGUACUAAUCUGGAAAAGAAUUAGAGACUACAGUAUGUAAUAAUGGUAUGCUUAUGAUACCUGGGUUUACAGCAGGCCAUUCUCAAUUCCCUUUCAGUGCCAAUUGUACAAGCUUCCAAGAGCAAGUUAACGUGGGGAGUUCUUCUGAAGAACAGUGCUUCACUUGAAAUACCAAAAAUUAGUCACUAGAAGGCAGACAUACCUUUCAUUAUUACCCAACAAUCUGACAGAUCUACUACCAAAUAAGUCCAACUGUUUUUAUUUCCAUUCAAUAUUAAAGUACGGGGAAACAGACAAGGUGUUUUCACGUGUUCCAGAAGGAGACUGAAGUUUUCAGGUAGGGCAGACGUCACAUAGGCUCCUCGUCUUGUCUCCUUUAUGUUGUUGGUCAGGUCACCCAUUCCGUCCAGUGCAUUUCUGCCAAUCGCUUAAAUCUUUCUGAAAUUUCUGCCCAGGCAACAGUAGCCUUUCCUGCAUUCUGUGCCAUAUCCACUUGGCUCAGUUCUUCUAAAUGAAUCAAGGAACUAUUAUUUAUGCAAUCUUAACUGAGAACUGUUGCAUGUGAACAGUAUUUCCUGAAGUAGUUUGUGUCAUCAUCUGUAUAUAAGAUAUCCGCUCACAGAACUUACUACUAUUUCUGCGCAGUUCCAGUAAAAAGGAAAGCAACACUGGAACUGCUUCCAAGCUCAUUGAAAAUGAGACAGACGAUUUUAAUCAUAUAUUUUAAAUAAUAUACUUUCCCCAAAUAUGUACGCUUUGAAGUCGUUCACGCUAUUGGAAGGUGUUCGAUGAAAGACUUAAAUCUGAAUCACAUUGCACUUAGACAAUAGGCUGGAAAGCGUUACACUUCUGACCUGCAGCACAACUGCUGGUAACAAUGAAUUUUUAUUUACUAUAUGUACUAGGUAGACAACCUAAGAGUCUGAGCUGUCAGGCAGCUGCUAAGAGUCUCCGUUUACUUUCUCCUUCCACUUCCACCACCAGCAAGCAUGGUGGCCACACGAAUGAAGAUGUUCAGCGUGUCUGUGUAGAUGCCCAUGCACGCAUUGAUGGGGUCGUAUUUCGUUACUCCGUAAUAUGGAAUAGUCUCUGCACGCUUGAUAACAUGCUGCGUAUCAUAGAGCAGAAACAUGCCAAAGAGAACCAAUCCUCCAUAAACAGCUACUGAAUACAAGCCAGCCCCAAAAGCAGAAGUAGGUGGCAAGAACAUGGAUCCAAUCGAAGAGACAAGAACGAAGCCAAAGCCUAUCCCAAGUGGUCCUCCCAUAUUCAGAAAUUUCUCACUUGGAGCACACAUGGCUACAGUUGAGAGCCCUCCGACGAUUCCAGCUGUAUACCAGGCAGCUCUGAUCAGCAAGGGACCACCCAAGAAAGCUAGAGGAGCCACCACUGCACCCAUGACACCGGAAUGCAUCAUCCAAGCAAGAUGUUUAGCUGCUGGACUGUUUUCAUAGGAUAUGGACCUGACCAACAUUCCAGCACCAAUCAUGGCGGCAAAAGUUGCGCCGAUUGCCAGCCAGGAGCCUUUUGUCAUAAGGCCCAUGAGUGCAGGAGAUCUGCUUACUGCUACAGCUGACAGUGCCGUCAAGCCAAUGCUUCCCGCAAAGUACAUGUAGGUAGAGCGAAUUCUGUCUUUCACAUACUGAGGCCAAAUAACUGCUCUUUCAAUAGCUCCAAUCUCACUGGACAUGCCCAUGCCAUAGUAACAGAGUGCCCCCAGGCCAACAGCAGCCCCUCCAGCAACAACAAGUUUUCCCAGGCGAUCAACUUUAAGAGCAGUUUCUGCAGAUGGCUCAAAUGCUGCUUCUUUAAUCUCCUGGCCAAUUUUCCCACGCCUUACGCCCGUUCUUACUCUGGUGGCAUAGCACUGGUUAGGCUGCCACAGACGGAAUGCUUUUAUACCAGAGUUCCUCAAAGCUGGGGACGCCUGAGCGAUGGUGGGGCGGAUAGCCUGGCAUGGCAGCGUCCUCAGGCACACGAGCCGUGCAGCCAGCAUGUUUGCUCUGCAAUAGUUUUAUAUACCGUGUUCCUGUAACUGCACAGCCCCAACCGCCGCUCGGCCCCACGAACGGCCUCCCUCAACACCCGCUCGGGAGUGGAAGUGACGCACCGCUGACCCGGGAGGCCACCGCGAUUGGCUCGCUCCUCUCACGUGGUUCCAGAGCACGCAAACGCCUCUGGCUAGCGGAGGCGGGGCGAAGCGACGUCCUGCAGCCACGCCGACGGGUGUCGCGCCAUCUUUAAUGAGGGCAGAGAAACUUCGGGAAGCCCCCUUAAG